RNAcentral lists this ribosomal RNA (623 nucleotides) under Salmonella enterica subsp. enterica. RNAcentral's name for it is "partial 23S ribosomal RNA". It matches the Rfam family "Bacterial large subunit ribosomal RNA", at positions 1 to 652 of the family's 2925-position model. The record is from RNAcentral. Lineage: Bacteria; Pseudomonadati; Pseudomonadota; Gammaproteobacteria; Enterobacterales; Enterobacteriaceae.
GGGUUGUGAGGUUAAGCGACUAAGCGUACACGGUGGAUGCCCUGGCAGUCAGAGGCGAUGAAGGGCGUGCUAAUCUGCGAUAAGCGCCGGUAAGGUGAUAUGAACCGUUAUAACCGGCGAUACCCGAAUGGGGAAACCCAGUGUGAUUCGUCACACUAUCAUUAACUGAAUCUAUAGGUUAAUGAGGCGAACCGGGGGAACUGAAACAUCUAAGUACCCCGAGGAAAAGAAAUCAACCGAGAUUCCCCCAGUAGCGGCGAGCGAACGGGGAGGAGCCCAGAGCCUGAAUCAGCAUGUGUGUUAGUGGAAGCGUCUGGAAAGGCGCGCGAUACAGGGUGACAGCCCCGUACACAAAAGCGCAUGUGCUGUGAGCUCGAUGAGUAGGACGGGACACGUGGUAUCCUGUCUGAAUAUGGGGGGACCAUCCUCCAAGGCUAAAUACUCCUGACUGACCGAUAGUGAACCAGUACCGUGAGGGAAAGGCGAAAAGAACCCCGGCGAGGGGAGUGAAAAAGAACCUGAAACCGUGUACGUACAAGCAGUGGGAGCACAGGUUUACCUGUGUGACUGCGUACCUUUUGUAUAAUGGGUCAGCGACUUAUAUUCUGUAGCAAGGUUAACCG